This 432-nucleotide long non-coding RNA is filed under the name Homo sapiens (human). RNAcentral's name for it is "non-protein coding lnc-DFFA-6:1". Lineage: Eukaryota; Metazoa; Chordata; Mammalia; Primates; Hominidae. The record is from RNAcentral.
CAUCUUCCCACCCCUCCCCUGCAGGAAGCGGGCAGCAGGUCACCCCAGCCAGGUUCCCCCCGGCCCAAGUGAAGCCGGAACCCGGUGAGAGCACCGGCGCCCCAGGCCCCCACGAAGCCUCCCAGGACCGCAGUCUAGACCUGACUGUGAAGGAGCCCAGCAACGAAUCAAAUGGCCACGCAGUCCCGGCAAAUUCAUCUCUUUUAUCCUCGCUUAUGAAUAAGGUAAGAGCCAUCCAUCACACGCCUCCCGUUCCCCCACCCAGAGAAAUUAAAGCUGUGCUGGGGGGUGGGGGGAUGUGUUUGUUUUUUAAUGUUUUGCCUCUAAUAAGAUGAGUUUGUACCAUUUAAAUUUUGAGGCCAUUUUUCAUCGGAUAUAAUUUCAGAGCCACUGCUUACAAAUUAAUUUAAUGAACUGGCUGAAGAAAUAUAU